AUACGGAGGGUGCAAGCGUUACUCGGAAUCACUGGGCGUAAAGCGCGCGCAGGCGGCUAUUUAAGUUGGAUGUGAAAGCCUACGGCUCAACCGUAGAACUGCAUCCAAAACUAUUUAGCUAGAGCGUGGGAGAGGAAGAUGGAAUUAGUUGUGUAGGGGUAAAAUCCGUAGAGAUAACUAGGAAUACCAAAAGCGAAGGCAAUCCUCUGGAACACUACUGACGCUGAGGCGCGAAAGCGUGGGGAGCAAACAGGAUUAGAUACCCUAGUAGUCC
RNAcentral lists this ribosomal RNA (274 nucleotides) under uncultured bacterium. Its description in RNAcentral is "partial 16S ribosomal RNA". It matches the Rfam family "Bacterial small subunit ribosomal RNA", at positions 523 to 796 of the family's 1533-position model. The record is from RNAcentral.